CAACGAAGUCUCACAGCCUCAAUUGGACCAUUAGGGAAGUUAGAGUCGGCUAAAGGCUCAACAAAAUACCGGUGAGUGAAUUUGCAUCUCAAAACCGUUUUGAGAAUGUGAAUCUAUUUGCACAAAACAUUGAUUGAUUUUAUCCAACUUUUCUUAAAAACGUGUGCCUUGGGAAUAAGCCAUUGAUAAAAUAUUUUGAGGUUGUGAAAAUGUGAAAUGUGUAAAAAG
RNAcentral lists this long non-coding RNA (228 nucleotides) under Theobroma cacao (cacao). RNAcentral describes it as "long non-coding RNA (TCAC_LNC001444)". Lineage: Eukaryota; Viridiplantae; Streptophyta; Magnoliopsida; Malvales; Malvaceae. The record is from RNAcentral.